UAUCCCGAAACUCGGUGGUGAAACUCUACCGCGGUAACGAUACUGCAGGGGGGGCUCUGCGGAAAAAUAGCUCGAUGCCAGGAU
This 84-nucleotide ribosomal RNA is filed under the name Marsilea mutica. Lineage: Eukaryota; Viridiplantae; Streptophyta; Polypodiopsida; Salviniales; Marsileaceae. The record is from RNAcentral.